GCCGGCCAAGGUCAACUCACCACCAUGGGGUAGUGCUUGUGCUGCACAUCCAGCUUGAAGAAUGUCUGCUGUUUGGAAAAGAAAAACAACUCACAGCUUUCCAGAAGCAGAAUGGCUAUCAUUAAUGCAUUUUAUCAGUGCUUUCAAACACGAUUGACUGCUGAUGUUUAUGAAUUACAGUGAGAGUGGGUGAUACAGGCAAAGCAGAAGUGGGAGGCAGAUGUGACAUUAGAGGAAGAAGGAAAAAAAGAGCUCAUUUGCCAAAGGUCUGCAGACCACAGUCAAAUUACCUACAAAGUGAGGUGUCAGCUGAGACAGUUCCUCACAGAAAGUGCUGAUGUGAAACAGAACUGAGAAAUGUCCAGAGCUGUCAGGAUGUGAAAGCCUGCAGAUAUGUGUGUGCCUGUUCACUGCUGGGAUUCCUGACUCGACUCCAAAGGCUGUGGGAGGUAGUCGAGGUUGAGACACCUGUUUCUGAUCCAGCUCACAGACCAAACAACUGAACCCUUUCCCUCCCCCUUUCUUAGUGUGCUCACCACUGCUCAGUGGUUAGAUACAUACUGCUCACCAAAGACAGAGGGAGUACAUAGUCUUCAGGUUGAAGCACUGAGGUGGGAUGCGCGCAUGUCGGAUUCAGUUCUUUCUCCCCACGCUAUAUAAAUGCCAUGUAUCAAGCGAGGCUGCAACUGGUAGAUGUUAGUGUAGUUAAAAAAAAAAAAAAAAAAAAAGACAAUCAAAUGUCAUUUUCACAGUUCUACCUUGGGCAGUAUGGCACAGUUAAUUGCCAGCUGGAACAAUGUUCUUUUAGUUUUCAUGAUUGGAGAUGCAGGCAUUGGUAUGAAUGAGCAGAGGUGAUACUCUGAUUCACUUGGGAAUAGCCUAGUAGUUGCUUUCCAAGGUGUAAGUAUUUGAGCCUCAGGAUGGAAGAAUAUGAGGGUUGAUGAUAGAAGCUUAACGGGAGUUCCAAGGUGGUAAAAUGUAAGUCAGUUCAAAUUCCAUUCAAUAAAGAAAUAUUACUUUGUAUCCUAAACUCAACAAGUUAUCAGACCUUGCAAAACAUUCAUAAGAACAAAGAGUAAUUCCUUAUAUAUUAAAUCUUUACUGUAUUUUAGCUUUGAAUACUGGAGCAUUGUUUUACUGGGGGAGGUGUGGUGGUCUAGCUUUUAAAAUUUGUUGGUAGUAAUUUUGUAUUACAGAAAAUCUUACUUCAGAAGCAGCCAGUUUAGCAGGAAGCCAUUAAAUGAAUAAAAGGGAAAUGUCAAGAAUUACAUGGUCUGAGGACUGGCUGAUAUUGCAGUGUGAA
Falco peregrinus (peregrine falcon) is the source of this 1303-nucleotide long non-coding RNA. RefSeq lists it as uncharacterized. The transcript has 4 exons. Lineage: Eukaryota; Metazoa; Chordata; Aves; Falconiformes; Falconidae. The record is from RefSeq and is a predicted model, not a curated record.